AGAGACUUCACAUUUGAUCUAAAAAUGUUCAACUCUGCAGACAUGGUCUUUUCACUGGAUAAUUUAUUUUAUGAAAAACCAGAUAUGAGACAAAGGUGUCUGGAAAAUGGAGAUCGUAAUACUUGGUUUAUUGCACCUGCUCCAGCUAUUGCUGAAAUUCCAGCUGCAGAGGAGUUACAGAGGGAACUGGAAAAAAGCUCAGCUCACACUCAUAUGGGGGGGAGCAAGCAUGAGAAGUUUAUACAGCAAUGUAAGAGUAACACAGAGAAAGUGGAAGAUAAAUCAUCAGCACCUAUUCAUUUUGGCAUAGCCCCUGAAAAGGAAGCCCUACAAUUAAGUCUAGGAGAAAGAGAUAAAAUUAGUUUUCAGCAUGAAAAUCUGAAAGUGGUUUCAUCUUUUCUUUCCUUUGAUGAAAAUAAAUCUAAAAGAAUAAUAGAUUUUUCUCAGCAACCACAAAAUAAAGCAUUAAGUGAAAACAGUGAUGAUGAGAGUGUCCAUUCAACAUU
RNAcentral lists this long non-coding RNA (506 nucleotides) under Junco hyemalis (dark-eyed junco). Its description in RNAcentral is "lncRNA (ENSJHYG00000002380.1)". The record is from RNAcentral. Lineage: Eukaryota; Metazoa; Chordata; Aves; Passeriformes; Passerellidae.